This 1446-nucleotide unclassified non-coding RNA is filed under the name Hevea brasiliensis (rubber tree). The record is from RNAcentral. Lineage: Eukaryota; Viridiplantae; Streptophyta; Magnoliopsida; Malpighiales; Euphorbiaceae.
GGGACUCUGCAACUCUUGAUGGCUGGCUGCUUUGGGUUUUGUUCUGGAAAGAGGGCUGACACCAGAGGUAUUUUUCGAAGUUUUUCUGUGAAGCAAUUGUUAUAAUUUGUUUAGAUGUUUGGAGGUUGGAAUGUCUCAACACUUACACUUUUCUCUCUCCUUUGACUUUGAGGCGUGUUGUAAUUUGCUCAGAUGGUGGAUCUACGUUUGCAGAACCAAAUCGAAAUCCAGAUCCUACUCAUCAUCACACUACUCCUCCUUUGAAUUUCUCAGAUGUUGGAUCUACUUUACCAGAACCAAAUCCACCUGAGUUAAGGAAAUAUGAGUAUGAGGACCUAUCUGAGGCAACCGAAAAUUUCAGAAACAAGAAAAUGCUUGGCUCGGGUGGAUUUGGUGAUGUCUUCGAGGGAUUUUUAGAUGGUGAAGCCGUUGCUAUCAAGAAGUUUAAGUAUGCAAGUGACGAAAAGCCACCAGAUAAAAUAGAGGAGAUGGAUUAUCUUAUAAGAGUGAGUCACCCAAAUGUUGUUAAGCUGAUUGGCUACUGCGAUGAUGGCCUCGAUAAAUUGCUUGUCUUAGAGCUUGUUCCCAAUAAGACAUUGAGACAUCAUUUAAAUAAUGGAAAAGAGAACGUUUUGAAUUGGCCAAGAAGAAGGAAUAUUGCCAUAAAAGCUGCACGUGGAUUACAAUAUCUCCACGAAUGGAAUAUUAUACACCGAGAUAUUAAGACAAAUAAUAUUCUUCUUGAUAAUGAUUUUGAACCAAAGGUUACAGAUUUUUCAAUUUCCAAGUUUUUGCCAAAUAUUGAUGACAUUAGUCAUAUCACCAGUAAAUUGAAGGGAACUAACGUGCAGAAUCUCGGAUUAAAGAAGCUUUGAACAAUAAAAACUAUACAGAUUUUGUUGAUUCCGAAUUGAAAGAGGACUACAAUGAAAGGCAAAUGCGAGCAAUGAUUUUUUGUGCUAGAGCUUGCAUAUAUGAGCCUUCACACUCUCGACCAAACAUGGAAGAGAUAAUUAAAAUUCUUGAAGAAAUUGACUAUGAGAAGAGGACACCUUUUCCCGUUGGCGCUCCUAUUGAUCUCCAAUCUACCCUUGACAUUGAGAGCAUACAUAUUACUCCGCGCGCACAUAUUACUCCGCCAAUAAUGUUUGAAUUUAGACAACUAGCAGAGGCAACUGAAAGUUUCGAUCACAAAAACUUGAUUGGCAUGGGAAAAUUUUAUAAAGGAUCCCUUAUAAAUGAUGAGAGGAUCUAUGCAAUUAAAAAGCUUGAAUAUCUGGGCGAAUCAAGUAAAGAUGAAGAUGAAUUUAUGGAAAAGAUUAGGGCCAUUAGUGGCAUUUGUCACCGGCAUAUUGUCAAGCUGAUUGGAUAUUGCAUUGAAGAAUCCAAUAGAUUGCUUGUUUAUGAGUUUUUACCUAACAACUCCUUGCUGUCUCAAUUACAUGG